This 235-nucleotide ribosomal RNA is filed under the name uncultured bacterium. Its description in RNAcentral is "partial 16S ribosomal RNA". It matches the Rfam family "Bacterial small subunit ribosomal RNA", at positions 335 to 561 of the family's 1533-position model. The record is from RNAcentral.
UGCACCUACGGGGCGCAGCAGUAGGGAAUCUUCCACAAUGGACGAAAGUCUGAUGGAGCAACGCCGCGUGAGUGAAGAAGGGUUUCGGCUCGUAAAGCUCUGUUUGUAGUGAAGACCGAUAGAGGUAUUAACUGGCCUUUAUUUUACGGUAAUUACUUAUAAAGUCCCGGCUAACUCCGUUCCCGCCGCCGCGGUAAUACGUCUGUGGCAAGCCUUUUCCGGAUUUCUUUGGCGU